Molecule: long non-coding RNA, 2356 nt
Organism: Mytilus californianus (California mussel)
Lineage: Eukaryota; Metazoa; Mollusca; Bivalvia; Mytilida; Mytilidae
Exons: 2
Source: RefSeq, a predicted model, not a curated record
AUGUAUUCAAUAUAAACUCAUCAUAGAUACAAGGAUCACCGGUAAACAGGAUAGCACAUCCAAACUUCCAUUUGAAGGAAGUAUGAUACACAAAGGAUUGAAACUUAUCUCGCAUAAUGCCACUCAAGGAUCCAUGCAAGUAGUUUCGAGCAUACUUUUCAGCAUAAGUCUAGGUAGCAGGAUAUUCUCCGCAAACGAAUCAUCUUAUUUUACAUCUUCAUUCGAAAAAGAUAUAAUAUACGUAUGUACAAAUGUAUGUUCCCUCGACAACAAAACAAACGCCCCGUCAGCAUUGUUAUAAUUUUAAUUAGAAGAAGGUCAAGCGACCAUAUUAUAUCAAAUAUAUAAGCUUUUGAAUAACGUAACGUUAGAAAAAAGUAAAAUUAGAAAAUACAAAAAAAAAAAACUCCAAGGACAAUUCAAACCGGAAAAUCCAUUAUCAAUAGGCAAAAUCAAAAGUUCGAUCACAUCACAUCAAACGAAUGGAAAACAACUGUCACAAAAAUUACAGGUGUUAUCAUGCAUUGGGGCAUUGUCUGUGACUAUCUAUCACAGUUAUUCUAACAAAAGAAAACAAGAGGAAACGAUGGUUAAACUGGAACAAAAAUUGAUGGCUGUAUUAAAAAGACUGCAAACGAUAACAUUGAAUGAGUUUAUAAGCAACGAGAAGAAACUUGUGUAUGAACAAGCGGAGACUAUAGAAAAUGAGAUGGCGACGUUUGCUGAAUUAAUACAAAAAGAAAAGCAAACAUUAACUGAAUUGGUAGGACAAAGAAAUAAUAUCUUAACUGAACAUUCCGAAACGAUAUCAAUGGAGAAGAGGGCGGUUCUGCACUUCAUCACACGAGAUAGGAACACACUAGACGAGCUAGCUGUAUGGAUGAAAAAGGAGGGGAAAACAUCAACCGAAGUUAUAAGAAACGAUACUGAAACGUAUUUGACCAAUCUGCAAAGAUGAACAAAGAUAAGGAAAACUUUUAAUGAAUGUAUAGUAAAAGAGAAGAACACGUUAACCAAAUUUGUAGAAAAAGAGAAAGUAACGCUAACCAAAUUGUUAGAAAAAGAGAAGGUAACGCUUACCGAAUUGAUAGAAAAAGACAAGUCAAAGCUAACUGAAUUGACCAGAGAAGGGGAGAUACAUUCAACUGAACAAACGCUGAAUGCACAGGCUGCAUGGAUAGAGGAAAUGAAGGAGACGUUUACAGAAUCGAUAAGAAAAGGGAAGGAAACUUUAUUUGACCAAUCUGUACAUACGAAAAAAGAGUUAAAUACAUUAAAUGAAGAGGCAGCCUAGAUAAAAAAAGAAAACGUAACUUUAACUGAUUUCAUAGAGAAAGAAAAGGACAAGCUGAUCAAAUAUGCUGAAAGGAUAGAACGAGUGAAGGAUGACUGGGUUAAAUCAGUCAAACAAGCGAAGGAAAAAUUGUCUGAAAACGCUGUUAAGAUGGAAAAAGAGACCGAAAUCUUAAUCAAUCAAACUCUAAGGAUACAAAAGUGAAGGAUAGUUGGGUUGAAUUGGUAAUAAAAAAGGAAAACAAGUUAAAUGAACAAACUGCACAGAUAGAAAAAGAGAUAAAAACGUUAAUUGCAAAACCUAAAAGGACAGAACAUAAUGACUAAAAUCUAUGCAUGAAUUGAUAUGAAGAUGGAAAAACAGAUAUACCUAAGCUGAACACAUUUCAACUGAUAUCAUUCCCAUUUGAGUUUAGAGCCUUCGUUUGCUCUUUCUUUAAUAUACAGGUGUAUCAUUUUCAUUUUUCAAUGUAUGUGUUGUUUCUACAGAUGACAGUUUUGUUAAUCCGUUGUACAGAAAAAUGUUAAAACGUGUUAAUUUCUCACUCGGUAAAGUUCAGAAAUAGAACAUUUACGUGAUAGAUAGUUUAUAAAUUAUCUGAUGCCUUAUGGGUAUAUCAAAGUCAAUUGCAAAUUUUAAAUGUGUUUGCCUCCUAAUUUUAUAUAAAUAUACAGUUGAACCUUGGUAAAUCUACCUCGAAAGAACCUGUCAGUACUAUUGACCUGUCCAAGAUGGCAAUCUACAUCAUGUUUACCGUCAUUUCAAUGUUGAAAUAUGGAUUUGUUAACCUGGUACGUUAAUGUGAAAUAUAUAUUUUAUUUUCCAUUUUAUGCAAAUUGAUAGCACUCUUAAUAACAAUUAUCUUAAUUUCAUAAAAUCUAGCUAAUUAACCAUAUUACACAAGAUCAGGAAAAAACAAAAUAGAAGUAAUUAUCGGACCGAAACUAAUCUGUGACGAUGAAAGUAUUACACUCCCUCCUUGAUACUUAUUAACUACUGUUUGUUAAUUUCGAGUCUAUUUGUAUUAAUAAUUUAUUUGAAUAAAAGAUAGUUUGCAGUCUU